UACGUAGGGUGCAAGCGUUGUCCGGAAUUAUUGGGCGUAAAGGGCUCGUAGGCGGUUCGUCACGUCGGGAGUGAAAACUCGGGGCUUAACCCCGAGCCUGCUUCCGAUACGGGCAGACUAGAGGUAGGCAGGGGAGAGCGGAACUCCUGGUGUAGCGGUGGAAUGCGCAGAUAUCAGGAAGAACACCGGUGGCGAAGGCGGCUCUCUGGGCCUUACCUGACGCUGAGGAGCGAAAGCGUGGGUAGCGAACAGG
RNAcentral lists this ribosomal RNA (253 nucleotides) under uncultured bacterium. RNAcentral's name for it is "partial 16S ribosomal RNA". It matches the Rfam family "Bacterial small subunit ribosomal RNA", at positions 524 to 776 of the family's 1533-position model. The record is from RNAcentral.